RNAcentral lists this ribosomal RNA (583 nucleotides) under uncultured Pseudomonas sp. RNAcentral's name for it is "bacterial SSU rRNA". It matches the Rfam family "Bacterial small subunit ribosomal RNA", at positions 102 to 681 of the family's 1533-position model. The record is from RNAcentral. Lineage: Bacteria; Pseudomonadati; Pseudomonadota; Gammaproteobacteria; Pseudomonadales; Pseudomonadaceae.
ACGGGUGAGUAAUGCCUAGGAAUCUGCCUGGUAGUGGGGGAUAACGCUCGGAAACGGACGCUAAUACCGCAUACGUCCUACGGGAGAAAGCAGGGGACCUUCGGGCCUUGCGCUAUCAGAUGAGCCUAGGUCGGAUUAGCUAGUUGGUGAGGUAAUGGCUCACCAAGGCGACGAUCCGUAACUGGUCUGAGAGGAUGAUCAGUCACACUGGAACUGAGACACGGUCCAGACUCCUACGGGAGGCAGCAGUGGGGAAUAUUGGACAAUGGGCGAAAGCCUGAUCCAGCCAUGCCGCGUGUGUGAAGAAGGUCUUCGGAUUGUAAAGCACUUUAAGUUGGGAGGAAGGGCAGUUACCUAAUACGUGAUUGUUUUGACGUUACCGACAGAAUAAGCACCGGCUAACUCUGUGCCAGCAGCCGCGGUAAUACAGAGGGUGCAAGCGUUAAUCGGAAUUACUGGGCGUAAAGCGCGCGUAGGUGGUUUGUUAAGUUGAAUGUGAAAUCCCCGGGCUCAACCUGGGAACUGCAUCCAAAACUGGCAAGCUAGAGUAUGGUAGAGGGUGGUGGAAUUUCCUGUGUAGCGG